UUAACUAUUAUAUAGUACUCAGACGACACUAAUAAACAAGAGUUUGUGGUCCUCUGGCGAGCGCACACCAGCAGACGCCGGUGGCCGAAGCGGCUCGCCAAAGCAACAAAGGUUUAAUAACAUAGGGUUGGAGAGUCACCCGUGAGGGCGAUGUUCUCUGUAAUGAUCCCUCCGCAGGUUCACCUACGGAGA
This 192-nucleotide unclassified non-coding RNA is filed under the name uncultured fungus. RNAcentral describes it as "sequence contains ITS1". Lineage: Eukaryota; Fungi. The record is from RNAcentral.